RNAcentral lists this long non-coding RNA (4258 nucleotides) under Gallus gallus (chicken). Lineage: Eukaryota; Metazoa; Chordata; Aves; Galliformes; Phasianidae. The record is from RNAcentral.
UUACACUACAAGUUGCAGGUUAACUUCGGGAGUUAACACUAUUUUGCAAUAUGAAGUGCUUUUUUAAUAUAUAUAUCUAUAUAAUAUAUAGAUAUUUGUAAAAUACAUGUGCAGAUUUGAUAGAACAAACUGUGGAAAUAGCUUUCUUGAGUCUUUUUUCCAUUACCAGAUCUUUAUCUCCUACACAAGGAGUUUCAGGAUUCAACAAGGAUCUCUACAAUAUGAUCGAGCUCGUUAAGAUCAGAUUUACAAUUAGAGCUAGAAGUUGUAGUUGUUGGAGAAGGAAAUGGUUCUAGCCCAUCACAGUGUCCCAUUUUUGUGUUGCUCAUCAUACCUGUUAACAUAGUAUCAAGAUCAUAGUAAGAAUUGUCAACUUCUGAAAAAAGGUCUUCAACUGAAUUAGGACUUUUGUUCUCCAGCGUCUCAAAUAUUUGAUCUAAUGAUUUUUGAAAAUUCCCUUUAUUUUCUUGUGAAUUCUCCAUUUCCCACACAUUGCUUUGCAGGUUUCUUAGAGCUUGCACUGAAGAGGCUGUUGACAUAGUUUCUGAACUAUCUUGUGCCUGGUCACCCUCAAAGUCUUUACUGAAAGUACUGUAACCUGGAACAUGCUUUCCCUCAGCCUGCUCCCUAGAUGAGCGACAGAGGAUAUCUGUUGAAACAAGACGAUCCACGGAUGCCUGGCCUGUAUUCUGCAUAUUUAUCAUCUGCCAAGUCCCAUCUUGGGUCAUUUCCUCUUGGAUCUGGCGUACCGUGUUGGCUAUGAGUACCGAACGACAAAGGUUAGGUUCGACCAGCAUGUGACACAGCUGAAGUUUAACCAGGGACAUAUCUAAAAGUGACUGCCGCUGAAGAUUAUAUGAAGGAAUAGCCUUAAUACCAGCCAGAGUUCCUUCAAUAUCUUCUUCGCCAUCAAAACAUUUUCUUUUCAGUCCUCGCAUAAACAUUGUGUCCAGUAAUUGUGCUUGAUGUAGUCCUUCCUCUUCUCCCAUGCUACUGAGCAAGAGUCCAUACAGUAACAGUUAGGGCAGCACCACACUACUACCGCUGCCGUCGCCUCCCAGCGCAGGAGCCCCGCUCCCGCCUCGGCGCUCGCUCCGCGCUAGAGGGAAGGGGCGUGGCCAACCGUAGCGCCCGGCCCCGCCCCCCUCGCCCGCCAUCUUAUUGUCAAAGCCCACAAAGGCUCUCGCUCCCCGCCCCCGCUGUGUCGCUGGGGGCGGGGCUUCAGCCUCUGGCCACGCCCACAAGGCAGCCGCAGGUCUCUAUUGGCUACCGCCGAAUCGCGCAGACGGCGCUCGCCUUUGCGAUUGGCUGUGCCGUUGCCGCGGCACCCAGCCGCUCCUCCCCCUCAGGCGCCGCGCACGGGAGGCUGACCGGUUGCCAUAGUGCCGGGCCCUUCCCCUCGUCCGUGAGAGGCUGGGAGGCGGAGGCCGAGGCGGAGUCCCCAUUUCAAACAGCAGCCAAAGCCUCGCGGCGUGGCUGGGCUCCCGGCCACGGGCUCCGGCGGGAACAGGUUGAGACCUGGCCCAGCAGCAGCCCGCGGGGCCCUCGCUCUGGGAGGAGUCCGCCCCCGGGCCGCGCCGCCUCCGCCGGGCCGGGCUGGGCCGGGCCGGGCCGGGCCUCUCCGCUCCGCGCCGCCGCUUCCCUCAGGGCCGAGAGUCCCCGACGCCUCCCGCCCCCGCAGCCCCGCGGGGUGCCAGGCCUCGUGACUCCAUUAGCAAGGCCUGUGGCAUUUCCUGUCUGAGCUUCGCAGGCAGAGGACAGGCAGGCUGCUUCCAUCGGGUGGGGAAGGGACGGAGCCCGGUGCCCCAGCAGCUCCAACCUUUGUCUUGAGCGAACGGCCCAACCAACGCUUUGGACGCCCCUCGUGCUGGCUUGGUGCUGCGGCACAUCUGCAAGCGCUUAGCUGGCCCCGGCGCUGAGCUUCUUUCCCGGCCCUGUGAGCAGCCAGGAGGGGGGAGUGAGCUCGUCCCGGCUCCAGCUGCUCAGGACCGGCAGCUGCGGCCGAAGGUUGGGCACGGAGAGACUCUGCGGCCCCGGGGAGAGAAGAGAAAUGGAGAGAAAGAGCAGGUUGGGCAGCAGGAGGGAGCAGAAAAUGGGCCAGGGAGUGAGUCGGUAGGGAGGGCUGUGAAACAGCAGAGAGCUACAACUUGGUAGGAGAAAGCAGGAGAAAAUAAUGUUUGCACAAGCAAGGUCAUUCUUGGGAUGAGAUAUGUUAGAAACUGCGCUAUUUCCCCAUGUUUUUUAUGGUUUCUCAUACAGCCCAUAAUGACAUCACGAUACAAAAGCAUAUGUGAAGACUUUGAAAGAACAAUACAGCGAAGAGAAGUGUUCCACCGCUCUCUCCAUCCCAACCCCAGCUUUUUUUAGAUGAGCUGUAAUGAAUUCAGUACGUAAUUCCACUUUAAGUCCUGCAUGAACCCAUGAGCCUUUCUGUUGUUCCCUUUAGGAUCACUGCCAUAGAAGAGUGCAGUGGUACUGCUCUUACUGGUGAUAACAUCACCUCCAUAUCCCCUCUUAUCUUUUUUCCUCUUUUAGCUACAAUGAGAGGAUCUCAACUUUUUUCCCCCAAUAAGUUCUCCAGUGAAACAAAGGAAAAAACAAUGAAAGAAGAGGAUAGCUGAUAGAUUAAAAGCUCUACGUUGUUUGAAAAGGAGAACUAUGGAAAGGUUCUCAAUGCUUUCUCUGAAAAGCUGAGAAAACUUAUGCACGCUUAGUCAAGAUAUGACAAGAUUUGAUUACUCUCAGGAGAAAACAACUCUUUCAUCUCACAUACAUGAGAAACAUAACUUGACAAGUCAGAAGGGAAAUAUCUGGACAAACUGAUGCAAAACAAUACAGACCAAAGUAUUUAGUAGAAAGCAGACAAUCUCUGAUAGUACUAAGAUAGUAUUAUAAAGAAAAUAAUUGAAUUGUAACCACAAUGUGAUAAAGAUAUCAAAUUUUAGCUACAUGCUGAUGUUUUUUAUCCACCUACCUAGUUUCAGUAAACUAAAUGUUAACGCCAGAGUUAAAGAGAGCAAGUGAUAAAUGGGAGCUGAGAAAGCUGUGUCAGCACAUGAAACCUUAGCAGGUAAGGUAGUCUGCGAGCAAAAGCAGAAGUGGGGCAAAGGAGUUGGAGACAAAGCACAGAGCAAAACUGGAAAUAAAUGUCAACAGAACAAUCUGAUUGGGAAACUGAAAUGAAGGUGGAAACUGCUGUAAAAAAGAAAGAAAAAAGAAUUCUGCUGGUUUGAAAUGGCAGGUGACCGAAACCAAAAGGUAUUCCGAAUAUGUCCUCAGAGCUGCUGGAGUAAUGUGAGAUCUUACACCUGGUGAGACACUGCGGGGACCUGCUUGCUGAUGUAAUGACUACCACGUAUGACGGGAGAAAAUGAUGCAAACCAGCUCAGCACAUCUCUCCUAGGAAGGUGGAUCAGCACUGGCAGCCAGCAGAAACUUCAGCGUGGUAGACCUGAGGAGAUUUAGAAGCCCUGGCAGCCCUCUGAAAGUGGCCCUGGGGGCCAGAAAGCUGGGCGAGGAGAGCAGGAAAAUGUGCGCUUGCACUGCCGGUGUUGGGAGCCAAGCAGACAUGAGUCAGCCUUGAGCUGGAAGCUGUGCAGCUGUCGUCAGUGCAGUGCUGCUGCCGAGCCCUGUUGGGAGGCAAGGUGUGCUCAUCCAGCUCGUGCUGCACCAGCAUGACCCUGUGUGGUUGGGGGAAGAGUUUGGGCUGUGGUUCAGAGCUGGGACAGAGCUUGCUUGCCUCUGCCUGCCAAAGACAACGUGGACGUGCUCUGAGUCUGUGUUGUUUUUCUCAUAAUAAAUGUUUGAUUAAAGCUCAUAAGUUAUCCGUGUCUUUCUUUAAUUUGGCUCAGGAGUAGGGCAGGAGGCCUGUCUGUAAUGUACCGUUUCCUUUAAGCCCAACCUGGCAAAUUCUGACCACCUUUGAAAUAAGCAGCAUUGCGAAACAGUCCUGAGUGCUUCUGCAGAUGAGCACAUUCCUGCAGCAGAGCUCAGCCUAAAACUCCAGGAGCAGAUGGAAGAAAGGCUAAGGAAGGUAAUUAAAUGUGGCUGUUGCCUAAGAAGUAAGCCUGUUGUAGCAGCUCAGCUGAGCCCUGUAAGCCAGAUACAGGCUACAGCCUCACUUUGUGCAGUCUGCAGUCACAGCACUCUGAGUUUUAUAGAAUCACAGAAUUGUUUGAAUUGAAAGGAACUUUUGAAGGCCAUCUGAUCCAACUCCCCUGCAAUAACAGGGACACCUACAGCUCGAUCAGGUUUUCAG